GAUGAUUGCCAUACCUUUCUGGACACAUUCCACCUCAUCCAAUUUUGGAAGUUCAGCAGAGUCGGGCCUGGCUAGUACUUGAAUGGGAGAGUGGUAUGACAAGUCAUGA
RNAcentral lists this ribosomal RNA (109 nucleotides) under Mesocricetus auratus (golden hamster). Lineage: Eukaryota; Metazoa; Chordata; Mammalia; Rodentia; Cricetidae. The record is from RNAcentral.